CAACUACUUCAAUCUUGUUUAUUUAAUUCUUCAAGAGUUUCAGGAGGGGAUUUGGACGUGGGAGCAGCAUACCAGCCCCGUUAGUCCAGCUUAUAUCUUGCACUGAGGGGCUACGACCGUGUACUAGAGUCAUGUAUUUAACUCUUAUCCACUGAAGGGCUACGUCCGUGGGUAAAGGUAUCCAAUAUACACUGAGGGGCUACAGCCGUAUGUAAAGGUAAUUCUUAUCGACUGAGGGGCUACGAUCGUGGGUAAAGGUAUCUAUUAUACACUGAGGGGCUACAUCCGUGUAUAAGGAUGAUUAUGUUGUUUCCAUCUUGUACACUGAGGGAUUACGACCGUGCACAGAAUAUUGAUCAGAUGGUUUAUGUACAUAUGAUUUAUAGCUUUUAGAUCAUUAGUAGAUGUUUACAUGUGAUAUAUUUUGAUGAUGUGAAUUUUAAUUAUAUAGUGGAUUAUUAGUCUUCAACUUACAUUUUCCCGUUUAUAGUUCAGCUUGUGGAUUUUAGAUUAUGGUUUUAGAUUAUUGAAUUGUCUAAUGUACUUACUCAUCUGGUUGUAUAUAUUUAUAUAUGACAGUACAACCAUCUUUUAAACACUCC
Olea europaea var. sylvestris is the source of this 602-nucleotide long non-coding RNA. RefSeq lists it as uncharacterized. Lineage: Eukaryota; Viridiplantae; Streptophyta; Magnoliopsida; Lamiales; Oleaceae. The record is from RefSeq and is a predicted model, not a curated record. The transcript is spliced from 3 exons.